Molecule: ribosomal RNA, 479 nt
Filed under: uncultured organism
Description: partial 16S ribosomal RNA
Rfam family: Bacterial small subunit ribosomal RNA
Source: RNAcentral
CGUACACUCCUGCGGGAGGCAGCAGUGGGGAAUAUUGCACAAUGGGCGCAAGCCUGAUGCAGCCAUGCCGCGUGUAUGAAGAAGGCCUUCGGGUUGUAAAGUACUUUCAGCGGGGAGGAAGGCGAUAAGGUUAAUAACCUUGUUGAUUGACGUUACCCGCAGAAGAAGCACCGGCUAACUCCGUGCCAGCAGCCGCGGUAAUACGGAGGGUGCAAGCGUUAAUCGGAAUUACUGGGCGUAAAGCGCACGCAGGCGGUCUGUCAAGUCGGAUGUGAAAUCCCCGGGCUCAACCUGGGAACUGCAUUCGAAACUGGCAGGCUAGAGUCUUGUAGAGGGGGGUAGAAUUCCAGGUGUAGCGGUGAAAUGCGUAGAGAUCUGGAGGAAUACCGGUGGCGAAGGCGGCCCCCUGGACAAAGACUGACGCUCAGGUGCGAAAGCGUGGGGAGCAAACAGGAUUAGAAACCCUAGUAGUCCCAUGA